CCACCGGCAGGCGUUCCGGUGUCCCGGGGCACCUCACCGGUGCCGCCGGAGGCCUCCCCGGCCGGCCCGUUCGACCCGGGCCCCGUGGCC
Molecule: transfer RNA, 90 nt
Filed under: Streptomyces smaragdinus
Lineage: Bacteria; Bacillati; Actinomycetota; Actinomycetes; Kitasatosporales; Streptomycetaceae
Description: Streptomyces sp. RB5 tRNA-Val
Source: RNAcentral